AGGCUAAUACCGCAUAAUACCCACGGGUCAAAGGAGCAAUUCGCUUGAGGAGGAGGUCGCGGCCCGAUUAGUUAGUUGGCGGGGUAAUGGCCCCACCAAGACGGUGAUCGGUAUCCGGCCUGAGAGGGCGCACGGACACACUGGAACUGAAACACGGUCCAGACUCCUACGGGAGGCAGCAGUGGGGAAUUUUGCGCAAUGGGGGAAACCCUGACGCAGCAACGCCGCGUGGAGGAUGAAGUCUCUUGGGACGUAAACUCCUUUCGAUCGGGACGAUUAUGACGGUACCGGAAGAAGAAGCCCCGGCUAACUUCGUG
This 317-nucleotide ribosomal RNA is filed under the name uncultured bacterium. RNAcentral's name for it is "bacterial SSU rRNA". It matches the Rfam family "Bacterial small subunit ribosomal RNA", at positions 160 to 507 of the family's 1533-position model. The record is from RNAcentral.